GAGAUAACUCCUACGGGAGGCAGCAGUGUGGAAUUUUGGACAAUGGGGGCAACCCUGAUCCAGCAAUGCCGCGUGAGUUAAGAAGGCCUUCGGGUUGUAAAGCUCUUUUGUCAGGGAAGAAACGGUAGUAGCUAAUAUCUAUUACUAAUGACGGUACCUGAAGAAUAAGCACCGGCUAACUACGUGCCAGCAGCCGCGGUAAUACGCAGGGUGCAAGCGUUAAUCGGAAUUACUGGGCGUAAAGCGUGCGCAGGCGGUUGUGUAAGUCAGAUGUGAAAUCCCCGGGCUCAACCUGAGAAUUGAAUGUGAGACUAGAAGGCUAGAGUGUGUCAGAGGGGGGUAGAAUUCCACGUGUAGCAGUGAAAUGCGUAGAUAUGUGGAGGAAUACCGAUGGCGAAGGCAGCCCCCUGGGAUAACACUGACGCUCAUGCACGAAAGCGUGGGGAGCAAACAGGAUUAGAUACCCUUGUAGUCCUCCACU
RNAcentral lists this ribosomal RNA (481 nucleotides) under uncultured bacterium. RNAcentral's name for it is "bacterial SSU rRNA". It matches the Rfam family "Bacterial small subunit ribosomal RNA", at positions 329 to 803 of the family's 1533-position model. The record is from RNAcentral.